This 253-nucleotide ribosomal RNA is filed under the name uncultured bacterium. RNAcentral describes it as "partial 16S ribosomal RNA". It matches the Rfam family "Bacterial small subunit ribosomal RNA", at positions 524 to 776 of the family's 1533-position model. The record is from RNAcentral.
UACGUAGGAUGCAAGCGUUGUCCGGAUUUAUUGGGUUUAAAGGGGGCGUAGGCGGCCAAUUACGUUAGUGGUGAAAACGUUCGGCUUAACCGGAUACCCGCCAUUGAUACUGAUAGACUUGAGUGCGACAGAGGGUGUUGGAAUGUGUGGUGUAGCGGUGAAAUGCUUAGAUAUCACGCAGAACACCAAUUGCGAAGGCAGAUGCCUAUGUCGUAACUGACGCUGAGGCAAGAAAGCGUGGGGAGCAAACAGG